ACGUUAGCGGCGGACGGGUGAGUAACACGUGGGUAACCUACCUAUAAGACUGGGAUAACUCGGGAAACCGGAGCUAAUACCGGAUAAUAUUUCGAACCGCAUGGUUCGAUAGUGAAAGAUGGUUUUGCUAUCACUUAUAGAUGGACCUGCGCCGUAUUAGCUAGUUGGUAAGGUAACGGCUUACCAAGGCGACGAUACGUAGCCGACCUGAGAGGGUGAUCGGCCACACUGGAACUGAGACACGGUCCAGACUCCUACGGGAGGCAGCAGUG
Molecule: ribosomal RNA, 272 nt
Filed under: uncultured Staphylococcus sp.
Lineage: Bacteria; Bacillati; Bacillota; Bacilli; Caryophanales; Staphylococcaceae
Description: partial 16S ribosomal RNA
Rfam family: Bacterial small subunit ribosomal RNA
Source: RNAcentral